AACGUAGGGGGCCAGCGUUGCUCGGAAUUACUGGGCGUAAAGGGUCCGUAGGCGGUGUGACAAGUCGGUAGUGAAAUCUCCGGGCUUAACUCGGAGGCUGCUGCCGAAACUGUUGUGCUAGAGUGUGAGAGAGGCGAGUGGAAUUACGGGUGUAGCGGUGAAAUGCGUAGAUAUCCGUAGGAACAUCCGAGGCGAAAGCGGCUCGCUGGAUCACAACUGACGCUGAGGGACGAAAGCUAGGGGAGCAAACAGG
This 253-nucleotide ribosomal RNA is filed under the name uncultured bacterium. RNAcentral's name for it is "partial 16S ribosomal RNA". It matches the Rfam family "Bacterial small subunit ribosomal RNA", at positions 524 to 776 of the family's 1533-position model. The record is from RNAcentral.